GAUGAACGCUGGCGGCGUGCUUAACACAUGCAAGUCGAACGGUAAAGCCCUGCUUGCUGGGUGUUUUAGUGGGGAACGGGUGAGUGACACGUGAGUAAACCGCACUCUACUCUUUGGUAAGCCUUGACGAAUGGGUCUAUAAUCUGAUAGGGGAGCCUACCGCAUGGUGGGUGUUGGGGAGAUUUAGCGGUUUUGGGUGGACACGCGGCGUUUCCGCUUGUUGGUGUGGGAUUGGCUCACCAAGGCGACGACGGGUAUCCGGCCUGAGAGGGUGACCGGCCACAAUGGGACUGAGACACGGCCCAGACUCCUACGGGAGGCAGCAGUGGGGAAUAUUGCACAAUGGGCGCAAGCCUGAUGCAGCGACGCCGCGUGUGGGAUGACGGCCUUCGGGUUGUAAACCGCUUUCGGUUGGGACGAAGCGAAAGUGACGGUACCUGCAGAAGAAGCACCGGCUAACUACGUG
This 466-nucleotide ribosomal RNA is filed under the name uncultured bacterium. Its description in RNAcentral is "partial 16S ribosomal RNA". It matches the Rfam family "Bacterial small subunit ribosomal RNA", at positions 28 to 507 of the family's 1533-position model. The record is from RNAcentral.